RNAcentral lists this ribosomal RNA (494 nucleotides) under uncultured bacterium. Its description in RNAcentral is "partial 16S ribosomal RNA". It matches the Rfam family "Bacterial small subunit ribosomal RNA", at positions 28 to 507 of the family's 1533-position model. The record is from RNAcentral.
GACGAACGCUGGCGGCGUGCUUAACACAUGCAAGUCGAACGGUGAAGCGCCUUCCUUUUUGGUGGGUGUGGAUGAGUGGCGAACGGGUGAGUAACACGUGAGUAACCUGCCCCCUUCUUCUGGAUAACCGCAUGAAAGUGUGGCUAAUACGGGAUAUUCUGGGUCUGUCGCAUGAUGGGUCUGGGAAAGAUAUUGUUUCGGUGGGGGAUGGGCUCGCGGCCUAUCAGCUUGUUGGUGGGGUGAUGGCCUACCGAGGCGGUGACGGGUAGCCGGCCUGAGAGGGUGGACGGUCACACUGGGACUGAGACACGGCCCAGACUCCUACGGGAGGCAGCAGUGGGGAAUAUUGCACAAUGGGCGCAAGCCUGAUGCAGCGACGCCGCGUGAGGGAUGGAGGCCUUCGGGUUGUGAACCUCUUUCGCCAGUGAAGCAGGCCUGCCUCGUUUGUGGGUGGGUUGACGGUAGCUGGAUAAGAAGCGCCGGCUAACUACGUG